GACGAACGCUGGCGGCGUGCCUAAUACAUGCAAGUUGAGCGAUGAAGAUUGGUGCUUGCACCAAUUUGAAGAGCAGCGAACGGGUGAGUAACGCGUGGGGAAUCUGCCUUUGAGCGGGGGACAACAUUUGGAAACGAAUGCUAAUACCGCAUAACAACUUUAAACAUAAGUUUUAAGUUUGAAAGAUGCAAUUGCAUCACUCAAAGAUGAUCCCGCGUUGUAUUAGCUAGUUGGUGAGGUAAAGGCUCACCAAGGCGAUGAUACAUAGCCGACCUGAGAGGGUGAUCGGCCGCAUUGGGACUGGGACACGGCCCAAACUCCUACGGGAGGCAGCAGUAGGGAAUCUUCGGCAAUGGACGAAAGUCUGACCGAGCAACGCCGCGUGAGUGAAGAAGGUUUUCGGAUCGUAAAACUCUGUUGGUAGAGAAGAACGUUGGUGAGAGUGGAAAGCUCAUCAAGUGACGGUAACUACCCAGAAAGGGACGGCUAACUACGUG
This 497-nucleotide ribosomal RNA is filed under the name uncultured bacterium. Its description in RNAcentral is "partial 16S ribosomal RNA". It matches the Rfam family "Bacterial small subunit ribosomal RNA", at positions 28 to 507 of the family's 1533-position model. The record is from RNAcentral.